GGAUAUGAGGGCGAUCUGGCUGCUACAUCUGUCACCGCAUUUACCACCAGGGUUGAUUGGGCUGAUCUGGCUGGCGAGGCGGGUGUCGCCCCCCUCCCUCAACCUCAACAGUGUGUCCCUCCCAAAGCUGUCUACUUGGCCUAAGGGGAUGGCCUUCCCCCCAGAGGAGAGGCCUGGUCUUCGGGCAAGGGCGUUUGAGUAGCUGCCAUUCCCCUGCUAGAACCUCCAAAUAAGCUCUCAAGGGCAAUGAGGAAUAUUUUAAUUUUUGAGAGAUAACCCAUCUCCCUUCCCAUCUCAAAAACAUCUGG
This is a non-coding RNA of Myotis davidii, 308 nucleotides long. The record is from Rfam. NCBI's taxonomy places the organism in Eukaryota, Metazoa, Chordata, Mammalia, Chiroptera, Vespertilionidae.